This 468-nucleotide ribosomal RNA is filed under the name uncultured bacterium. RNAcentral's name for it is "partial 16S ribosomal RNA". It matches the Rfam family "Bacterial small subunit ribosomal RNA", at positions 28 to 507 of the family's 1533-position model. The record is from RNAcentral.
GACGAACGCUGGCGGCGUGCUUAACACAUGCAAGUCGAACGGAAAGGCCCUGCUUUUGUGGGGUGCUCGAGUGGCGAACGGGUGAGUAACACGUGAGUAACCUGCCCUUGACUUUGGGAUAACUUCAGGAAACUGGGGCUAAUACCGGAUAGGAGCUCCUGCUGCAUGGUGGGGGUUGGAAAGUUUCGGCGGUUGGGGAUGGACUCGCGGCUUAUCAGCUUGUUGGUGGGGUAGUGGCUUACCAAGGCUUUGACGGGUAGCCGGCCUGAGAGGGUGACCGGCCACAUUGGGACUGAGAUACGGCGCAGACUCCUACGGUAGACAGCAGUGGGGAAUAUUGCACAGUGGGCGGAAGCGUGAUGCAGCAACGCCGCGUGCGGGAUGACGGCCUUCGGGUUGUAAACCGCUUUCGCCUGUGACGAAGCGUGAGUGACGGUAAUGGGUAAAGAAGCACCGGCUAACUACGUG